UCUAAAGACAUAUGUAUCUACGGCUAAUUUCUUACCGCAUAGACCAAUGGGUAUGAUUCAGAGAAGGUGUUCAGGUGUAGAAAUUCCAACGUACACUGAAAACUGUAGUGAAUCUCACCACCUAAAACACCAAGUUUAGUGAGGUUUAAUUUCUGGGUGUAGACGGUUUGUUAUGUAAACACAGCCUAAGGUCUUACUCCUGGAGAUGCCAGAUAAAAGGUUGUUGUCAGAGAAACGAUGAUAGGGAUAUAUAUAGGUCCUGUUUGGUAAAAUGAGGGAUAGGAAGUAUGAUUGUAAUU
Molecule: long non-coding RNA, 299 nt
Organism: Neltuma alba
Lineage: Eukaryota; Viridiplantae; Streptophyta; Magnoliopsida; Fabales; Fabaceae
Exons: 2
Source: RefSeq, a predicted model, not a curated record